GAUGAACGCUGGCGGCGUGCCUAAUACAUGCAAGUCGAGCGAACGGACCAGAAGCUUGCUCCUCUGAUGUUAGCGGCGGACGGGUGAGUAACACGUGGAUAACCUACCUAUAAGACUGGGAUAACUUCGGGAAACCGGAGCUAAUACCGGAUAAUAUUUUGAACCGCAUGGUUCAAAAGUUAAAGACGGUCUUUCUGUCACUUAUAGAUUGAUCCGCGCUGCAUUAGCUAGUUGGUAAGGUAACGGCUUACCAAGGCAACGAUGCAUAGCCGACCUGAGAGGGUGAUCGGCCACACUGGAACUGAGACACGGUCCAGACUCCUACGGGAGGCAGCAGUAGGGAAUCUUCCGCAAGGGGCGAAAGCCUGACGGAGCAACGCCGCGUGAGUGAUGAAGGUCUUCGGAUCGUAAAACUCUGUUAUUAGGGAAGAACAAAUGUGUAAGUAACUGUGCACAUCUUGACGGUACCUAAUCAGAAAGCCACGGCUAACUACGUG
This 497-nucleotide ribosomal RNA is filed under the name uncultured bacterium. Its description in RNAcentral is "partial 16S ribosomal RNA". It matches the Rfam family "Bacterial small subunit ribosomal RNA", at positions 28 to 507 of the family's 1533-position model. The record is from RNAcentral.